Molecule: ribosomal RNA, 396 nt
Filed under: Triticum aestivum (bread wheat)
Lineage: Eukaryota; Viridiplantae; Streptophyta; Magnoliopsida; Poales; Poaceae
Description: partial small subunit ribosomal RNA
Source: RNAcentral
AUGGCGAAGAGUACAUGGGCGCUCAUCUGCCACCUCCACGCCAUUGCAGGGCCGAGCCUGACCCUGAUAUACCCGCUGUACGCGUCGAUCUGCGCUAUGGAGAGCACGUCCAAGCUGGACGACGGCCAGUGGCUGGCCUACUGGAUAAUCUACUCCUUCAUCGCCCUCUUCGAAAUGGCAGCCGAGCAAGUCCUCUAUUGGAUACCGCUGUGGUACGAGGUGAAGCUGCUAUUCGUGGCGUGGCUGGUGCUGCCGCAGUUCAGGGGCGCCUCCUUCAUCUACGAGAAGUUCGUCAGGGAGCAGAUCAGGAAGCACGGGGUGAUGCUGCACGAGCACCAUGGCCACGAUGCCGGCCACGGCUCGCACGUCCUGAAGGCUGAGCACGGCGUGCACUGA